RNAcentral lists this ribosomal RNA (202 nucleotides) under uncultured bacterium. Its description in RNAcentral is "partial 16S ribosomal RNA". It matches the Rfam family "Bacterial small subunit ribosomal RNA", at positions 524 to 725 of the family's 1533-position model. The record is from RNAcentral.
AACGUAGGUGGCAAGCGUUAUCCGGAUUUACUGGGCGUAAAGCGUGUGCAGGCGGUCUUAUAAGUGGUGUAUGAAAUCUCCGCGCUUAACGUGGAGGGGUUAUGCCAGACUGUAGGACUUGAACCCAUCAGAGGGACGUGGAAUUCCGGGUGUAGUGGUGAAAUGCGUAGAGAUCCGGAGGAACACCAGAGGCGAAAGCGGC